This 253-nucleotide ribosomal RNA is filed under the name uncultured bacterium. RNAcentral describes it as "partial 16S ribosomal RNA". It matches the Rfam family "Bacterial small subunit ribosomal RNA", at positions 524 to 776 of the family's 1533-position model. The record is from RNAcentral.
UACGGGGGGGGCAAGCGUUGUUCGGAAUUACUGGGCGUAAAGGGCUCGUAGGCGGCCAACUAAGUCGGACGUGAAAUCCCUCGGCUUAACCGGGGAACUGCGUCCGAUACUGGAUGGCUUGAGUUUGGGAGAGGGAUGCGGAAUUCCAGGUGUAGAGGUGAAAUUCGUAGAUAUCGGGAGGAAUACCAGUGGCGAAGGCGGCGACCUGGGCCAAUACUGACGCUGAGGUGCGAAAGCGUGGGGAGCAAACAGG